AAGGGUGUUUAUGUCUUUCUGAAAAAUGGAAUAAUGGAAACAGUACAAUUUGGAAAAGAUGCAUAUGUCUAUCUGAAGAAUCCUCCUCAAGAUUUUCUUCCCAAACUGGGAGUGAUUACAGUUUCAGGAUUGGCGGGUGUGAUUUCAGCAAGAAAAGGUUCCAGGUUUAAGAAAAUUGCUUAUCCAGUAGGCCUGGCCACAUUAGGAGCAACUGUUUGCUACCCAGCUCAGUCAAUAAUAAUUGCAAAGGUAA
Non-coding RNA from Castor canadensis (American beaver), 253 nucleotides. The record is from RefSeq and is a predicted model, not a curated record. Lineage: Eukaryota; Metazoa; Chordata; Mammalia; Rodentia; Castoridae.